UUGAGGAUGGUGGUUCGGUGCCCGGGCCUUCUCAGACGUCCAGGAACACAGAGGGGUUAGGUGUUCUCCGCAGGUCCCUGCUCAGGAGCCGGUGGUCUUGGGGACCGUUCAUGACAACUCCUGCCCCCUCCCGCCUAGAUGUCAUCUGCGGUGCUGGAAGACUCCAAGGAAUUCGGUAGCCCCUUGACCUUUGCGAGGGGGACAUACACUAUCUGUCCCUUUAAGGUGGCAUCCCAGUCCCUCUCAGAUACCAGAUGGAGCUGUCCCCAGCCAAGGUGUGACCUCGGAGCAGCAUUCAAACUUAGGAGCUUUGGAGUGGCUCCGGGUACAUUUCCCAGGAGAGGUCGGGUCGGGGUGAAGAGACAGACGAAGGUGAACCGGAGGCCGGGACAAUUUGCUACAUGGUCCUGCUGGAAAACCUCUGGUCAGAUUUUGUAAAACUGUGCGCCCCAGAGGGUUAAUGAGGUUAAAAAGUCACUGCCGCCCAGUGACUCCCCUUCUUCACCAGAGUGCUCACUCUAUCGUUUAGGGGCAAACAGCAGGCAGAGCUCUGGCCGGCCUAGACCAGUUUGAGCGCCACACUGCUGCACGCAUGCGCGGCCGGACCCUCUCGUGUCUGCUUCAUUGUAACGUUGAACUCCUCGCCCGAGGAGCGCACGCUUCAUCAGCAUCACAUGCAACACGUGUGUAGGCAUAUGUUUUAAGUACUCCGACACAGCCCUAUGCCCCCGCCUCUGCUUUCGAGGCCGAAACUCCCCUUUCAGGAUAGUCAUCUGAAUACUCCCCCCCACUUCAGAGUGGGGCCAAUAGCUUUGGAAAUUAUUCCCCGCGAUCUCCUUAUUUGCGGCAAGUAAAGUUCCCUUCGGGCGACAGCUCCGCCUGGUAUAGUCUCUACCUGUAACUCGCCGAGGAGCAAACUCGCACGACCCCGUGUCACAGAAGCACAUGGGGAAUGGAACUGGGGGGUUCACUUGGGUCCUUGGCCUCUGAGACUUGCAGAGACAAGGUUGAGUUGGGGGCCAAGCCCCCCCCCCCUUCUCUCUCAAAUUAGCCAACCUUGGCAUUUCCUAGGGAGAAAGGACCAUCAUUCCCAUAGCACGAUUGUCCUUACUUCCUUUAAAAACACUGGAGCAGUAAAGCAACGGCUGAGCUGGAUUUAUUCCAGGAAUGCAAGGUUGGUUUUAUGUUCAAGAAAGUCUAUCAAAGUAGUUAAUUAUAUUGACUGAAUGAAAAGGAAAAGUCACGGGAUCUUCAUAAAUGUUUUUACAAACGCGUGGAUAGAGUUCA
Long non-coding RNA from Suricata suricatta (meerkat), 1287 nucleotides. RefSeq lists it as uncharacterized. NCBI's taxonomy places the organism in Eukaryota, Metazoa, Chordata, Mammalia, Carnivora, Herpestidae. The transcript is spliced from 2 exons. The record is from RefSeq and is a predicted model, not a curated record.